GACUACUCGGGUAUCUAAGCCUGUUUGAUCCCCACGCUUUCGUGCCUCAGCGUCAGUAAUGGCUUAGUAAGCUGCCUUCGCAAUCGGCGUUCUGUGUCAUAUCUAUGCAUUUCACCGCUACACAACACAUUCCACCUACCUCAACCAUACUCAAGAAAAACAGUAUCAAUGGCAAUUCUACCGUUAAGCGGCAGUAUUUCACCACUGACUUAUUUUCCCACCUGCGCACCCUUUAAACCCAAUGAAUCCGGAUAACGCUUGCAUCCUCCGUAUUACCGCGGCUGCUGGCACGGAGUUAGCCGAUGCUUAUUCAUACCUUACCGGCAACUGGUUACUCGUAACCAGGUUUCUUCAGGUACAAAAGCAGUUUACAACCCAUAGGGCCGUCAUCCUGCACGCGGGAUGGCUGGUUCAGCCUUUCGCCCAUUGACCAAUAUUCCUCACUGCAGCCACCCGUAGG
This 460-nucleotide ribosomal RNA is filed under the name uncultured Bacteroidota bacterium. RNAcentral's name for it is "uncultured Bacteroidetes bacterium partial 16S ribosomal RNA". Lineage: Bacteria; Pseudomonadati; Bacteroidota. The record is from RNAcentral.